RNAcentral lists this long non-coding RNA (209 nucleotides) under Sinocyclocheilus grahami. RNAcentral describes it as "lncRNA (ENSSGRG00000030650.1)". Lineage: Eukaryota; Metazoa; Chordata; Actinopteri; Cypriniformes; Cyprinidae. The record is from RNAcentral.
GUGCCGCCCGUGCUGUCUUAUGAACUCAUGCCGCGCAUCAGCUGCUUGUAGUCCGCACUGUUUCCGUGGAGCUGACGGCAAUCUGCUCACGCUACAGGACCCUGUGAAGAAUGACAGUUUCCACCCAUUUCAUCAUCAUCUUGGAAAUCAAGGUCUCAUGUGAAGGCCAUGUGUUUGACCCGUCGACACUGCUCCUGUUGCGCCAGGUC